UACAGAGGUCCCAAGCGUUGUUCGGAUUCACUGGGCGUAAAGGGUGCGUAGGUGGUGGGGCAAGUCGGAUGUGAAAUCUCGGAGCUUAACUCCGAAACUGCAUUGGAAACUGCCUUGCUAGAGGUUUGGAGGGGGGACUGGAAUGCUUGGUGUAGCAGUGAAAUGCGUAGAUAUCAAGCGGAACACCAGUGGCGAAGGCGAGUCCCUGGACAACACCUGACACUGAGGCACGAAAGCUAGGGGAGCAAACAGGAUUAGAUACCCUGGUAGUCCUAGCCGUAAACGGUGCACGUUUGCUGUAAAAGGAAUCGACCCCUUUUGUGGCGAAGCUAACGCGUUAAACGUGCCGCCUGGGAAGUACGGUCGCAAGAUUA
This 374-nucleotide ribosomal RNA is filed under the name uncultured prokaryote. RNAcentral's name for it is "bacterial SSU rRNA". It matches the Rfam family "Bacterial small subunit ribosomal RNA", at positions 524 to 896 of the family's 1533-position model. The record is from RNAcentral.